This 305-nucleotide ribosomal RNA is filed under the name uncultured bacterium. RNAcentral describes it as "bacterial SSU rRNA". It matches the Rfam family "Bacterial small subunit ribosomal RNA", at positions 337 to 639 of the family's 1533-position model. The record is from RNAcentral.
ACCUACGGGGGGCAGCAGUGAGGAAUAUUGGUCAAUGGGCUUACGCCUGAACCAGCCAAGUCGCGUGAGGGAAGACUGCCCUAUGGGUUGUAAACCUCUUUUGUCAGGGAGCAACGCCGGCUACGUGUAGCCGGACUGAGAGUACCUGAAGAAAAAGCAUCGGCUAACUCCGUGCCAGCAGCCGCGGUAAUACGGAGGAUGCGAGCGUUAUCCGGAUUUAUUGGGUUUAAAGGGUGCGUAGGCGGAAUGCCAAGUCAGCGGUAAAAUCGCGGGGCUCAACCUCACUCCGCCGUUGAAACUGGCGG